RNAcentral lists this long non-coding RNA (879 nucleotides) under Sorghum bicolor (sorghum). Its description in RNAcentral is "long non-coding RNA (SBIC_LNC009135)". The record is from RNAcentral. Lineage: Eukaryota; Viridiplantae; Streptophyta; Magnoliopsida; Poales; Poaceae.
UCAGCACAAAAUAAGAUAUAACCCAACAUGAAUGCAUAGACAAGUUUCUACCUCUAUGUUAAAUUUUAAUUUCAACAAAAAUAAUUUUAUUUACUAGAUUAAAUGCCCACAAAGUGCUUAAAUAAAUCCAAUUAAAUCCUAUUAAUUCAAAAGCAAAUUUUUUGGGUGUUACAAAUUCUACCCCUCUUAAAAGAAUCUCGUCCUCAAGAUUGAGCAGUGCAUAAACAAACCACUCUGGAUAUGACCGUCUCCAAUCAUUCUCUCUUUUCCAAGUUGCUUCACUUAUCACAUUCUAAUGAUCUAACUUCUGGUAACGCUCUGUAUUUGUCUCUUAAGUUCUUCUAACUCAUUCAUCCCAUUCUGUAAGGCCUUUCAGCUAUAGGUGCAUUAUCAGGUAGUAAUUCGAUAAUAAUAAAUUCAAUGUCUCUGGUCGGUUAGCAUACCUGGCAACUUAUCUGAAAACACAUUUGGGAAUUUAUUCACUACACGAUCCUAAAGAUCAACAUCAUCAUCUAGCUGGUUCACUGUAGCUGUGGGUGGAGCCUGCACUGUUACAUCCACACUGAUUCUCUCUCCCUUAGGUGUUGUCACAACUACUACUUUCUCUUUGCACUUAAUCUUUGUAGUAUACUUCUUCAUCCAAUCCAAACCCAAAAUCACAUCUAUGCCUAAGGUUCUCAUAACCAUAGGACUGAUCGGGAAAUCUACCCCCCUUAAAGAAAGACUUGCUGAGGGGCAACAAUAAGAAACUGAUAUAGUCCCUCCCGGUGAGUUUACUAGCAUAGGUGUUUUCAUGGCAACUAGUGGAAUGCUAUGAACUCUAACAAAUGCUUGUGAUAUGAAUGUAUGCGAGGCUCCAGAAUCAAAUAAAACUGUAGC